This 59-nucleotide microRNA precursor is filed under the name Ornithorhynchus anatinus (platypus). Its description in RNAcentral is "Oan-Mir-430-P55_pre stem-loop". Lineage: Eukaryota; Metazoa; Chordata; Mammalia; Monotremata; Ornithorhynchidae. The record is from RNAcentral.
AUCCGAUCGGCUUGCACUGUCUGGUUAUAUUAAAGGGAAAGUGCUUCCCGUUCGGAUGA